CCUCUUUCUUUUGUAAAUUGCCCAGUCUCAGGUAUGUCUUUAUUAGCAGUGUGAAAGCGGACUAAUACAGCAACCUUAAACUCCAGGGCUAAAGCGAUCCUCCCACCUCAGCCUCCAGAGAAGCUAGGACUACAGGCACCUUCCACCAUACCUGUUACAGGUCACAUGGUGUUAACAAGUCCUGGGAUGACUGAUUCCUUGAAGAGGAUGGACCAUGGGAAUGUCCGGCUUUCAGGAAAGAAGUAAGACUGCCUGGAUGUCUGUGAUCACAGUGAAAAGCUUGGACUGACUUGGAUUAGAAUCUGGCUUCAUCAGUUUCAGUGGCUGGGAGAACCUGAAGAUGAUGGACUUCUCCCAGCUGUCACUCUCGAGGAGAAACACGAUCCUGAUUCCUACCUCACAACUGCCAAACACAAGUGUCUGCCACAUUCUCUUUCUCUUCAUCUCCCUCCUCUCUGGGGUAAAUCAAAGAUCCAAGUCCCAGCUCCCAUCCUCAAAGCCCUCAUAGUCCAGUGUAAUGGGCUGACCUGAGCAAGGAUGGCGUUUGAUGACUUUCAUGGGAUUUUCAAAUGGAGAUGGCUUCGAGCCGGGGGUCCUGGUGGUGCUGGGAAAUUGCUGAAGAGUACUCAGUGGAGGCGCAUGGGGUGGUGAGUUCUGAGAGGGGUGGUGUGUCUAGAUAGGUGGGACCAUGGUAAGGCCAAGGCAAGCAGGGACGUGGUUGUGACCCGUUUUGCCACCCCUCACCUAUGCCGCGGGCCUCAGGGGUUCCCUGCUUGGCCUGGACCUUGGUCUCAUCUCAGGGGAUGGGGAAUCAGCAAAGGCUGUCCUGGCUGUCCUCACCACCCGCGAAGGCAUGUAAUUGUCAUGUUUUCCUUUCCCAUUGAUUCCUUUUUGUCGUGACUUUCUGUACCUAACUCAGGUACCUUAGUUUGUGUUUUUCAAGCUGAUUGUUGGUUAAUUUAUUCAGUCGGUGUUUCUUAGAAAAGGCCUGUUGGAGACUCAUGAAAACCAGCACUCCUCUAAAAUAACAAAUGAACUUCUAGUCAAUGCCUAACGACCUCCAGUGCGUGUUCCUAACACCGGGUCUUGGACAAACCAGGUAACUGCUCUGCGUCUCGUUUCCUCCUGUCUGAUGAUAGUGACGGUGACAGUGUUGUCUCAACCAAGCUCCCUACAGACAGAGCCUGAGAUGGGAAUUGAGUGAGGUGCCCUCAGGGGUCGGAAAGUGAGGCAGCAGGACAGGGAAGGGCGAAGGGAUGCUGGGUUGGAGACUAGCUUCAGCCUGCUGCAACGAGGACCUUGGGAACACAACUCGCCCUAAGAAGUUGGUGCUACUUUAAGGCAGCCUUUUGUACUCCAGGUCAUCAAGUCCAUACAGGGGGCCAGUCUUUUGUACCCCAGGUCAUCAAUUUGAUGCAGGGGGGGCAGCCUUUUGUACCAUAGGUUAGGGAUUGACCAUGAGCUGCAUAGAGUAACCCUUUAGGUGAGGCUGCUUCCUUUGACUGAGAGUAAUUCUCCAAAAAAAGGGUGCAGGUAGAGCCAUCAGCAGCCAACCCUCACAGCAGUGGGGAUGGGGACAGAGGUGGGGUGAGUCAGAUGAAUCUCUGGACAUGUGCACACUGGGUAAUAGACGCUGACAUUUACUGAGUGCUUACUAUUUGACAGGUACUUGUCUAAGUAGUUUACUUACACUAACAGUUUAUGCUCAUGCCACCCUAUAUAGUAGAUAUAUCCUUCUACUAUUAGCUGCAUCUUACAGAUGAAGAAAUGGAGGCACACAGAGGUUAAGUAACUUGCCCAAGGCCACACAGCAAGUGAAGGGGGGAACCAGGUUGGGAAAAAUGAUCUCUAAGUAACUUUUGUUAGGAAUUUCAGACUGGUAUCAUUUAUUUAGUCAGUUCUCAAAUCAUUCCACAUUUAUUGAGAGCCUCUCAUGUCCUAGAAAUGACACAGAUAAAUCAAGCAUGUCUCCAGCCUUCCAGGAGCUCAAACUCUACUGGGAGAAGCACUGUGUGCACUGCUUAAUACUGGACUGUGUCCUGAGCACUCGGAGAGGGAAGUGCAAAAGUGUGCUACUUCUGCCCUGGGGCAUUCGGAGAGAUGGCUGGGAGAAGAUAAGGCUGCAGUUUGGUCUGGAAGGAUAUGCAGAUAUUAAGGGUUAAAGGAUGAGAAGGACAUUUUUGUCAGAGGGAAUGGGGCAUGGUGGGACAAGGACACUGAAAGAUGGAGGUGUGGGGCAGGGUGGAGGGAAUGAGACUGCUUAGAGACAGUCUGGGAUGGCUGCAGGCUGUGAGAGGCCUGUGGGGUUCGGCCAGUGUAGGGAGACCCAGGUUCUCAGUCAGUCCAAGUUCAGUCUCCACCUGCAACAGACUGGCUCAGUGGAGGUGGCAAAGGAUGAUGGCUGUCUCAGUCCCCAAGCCCCCUCUCAAGUGGAAAAGCACCAGCAGAGCUGCUGCCUGCCUGCCCUCCAUUCAGCCUGACUCUGACUCCCUCUGAGCCACAGGCAGACUCUGACUCCAUCCUGAGCAAGGCCCCCAGGCAGGGAGGGGUUAUAUUCUGGAGCAUCACAGAGGGACCUCUGCAAUUGACUGAAUAAGAAAACAGAAUUUUAGAAUAAAAAAAGGAGAGGUUUUUUUUUUUGACACAAAAACAAGGAGUACAAUUCAUUGCUCUUAUCUUUCUACCCUAUCCUGUUAAAAUCCAAGUGUGAUCCUCUGCAAGUCUAGUGCACACUCCUACCUUUAUCAAAACCCACCUUUAUGAUAUCAGUUAUCCUGCUGCUAGAUAACUGCCGCUGGAGGUGGGAGUGGUCGCCAAACCAGAUGAAGUUCCCAGUUCUCUCCCAGGUGACUGUCUGGGUAUAGUCGUGAUUCAACUGUUAAUGAUGUAACCAGAGCCCAGGGGAAACAUUGCCAAGAACUAGGACACCUUUUGCAAAAGUUUUUUUUUAAAAAAAAAAAGAGGGUGAGAGUUAAAAGACU
Molecule: long non-coding RNA, 2981 nt
Organism: Cercocebus atys (sooty mangabey)
Lineage: Eukaryota; Metazoa; Chordata; Mammalia; Primates; Cercopithecidae
Exons: 3
Source: RefSeq, a predicted model, not a curated record